RNAcentral lists this long non-coding RNA (437 nucleotides) under Ananas comosus (pineapple). Its description in RNAcentral is "long non-coding RNA (ACOM_LNC034602)". The record is from RNAcentral. Lineage: Eukaryota; Viridiplantae; Streptophyta; Magnoliopsida; Poales; Bromeliaceae.
CAAUCAACUUCCAUGUACAUAUUUUUUUUGCAUUUAGAAAAUCUUAUGGUCUAAUAAAUAUCUUUAUGUCCUAUAUAAAAAAAACAUAUAACCAACAUUACCAGGGAUGUCAACGGGUCGGAUUCAGGGCGGAUUUUUAAAAAUCCGAAUCCGAACCCGAAUCCGACGGAUCUUAAAAAUUCAUAUCCAAAUCCGAACUCGGCCAAAAAUUUGAAAUCCAAACCCAAACCCGAAAACUCGAACCCGAAUCCGAAACAAAUUCGAAUCCGGCCAAAAAUCCGAAACCCGAUUCUAAACCCGAAAAUCCUAACCUGAAAAUAAUAUUUACCAAAAUUCGAAACAUAUAUUAUACAAAAAAUUAAAAUUUCAAAAUAUAUAUUCAAAUACAAAACUAAAAAACUAAACUUAAAAACAAAUAUUACAUGCAGUGAAAAAAU